This 616-nucleotide ribosomal RNA is filed under the name Hyparcha sp. NL479. Its description in RNAcentral is "eukaryotic LSU rRNA". The record is from RNAcentral. Lineage: Eukaryota; Metazoa; Arthropoda; Insecta; Hymenoptera; Ichneumonidae.
CCUGAGAAACCCGAAAGAUCGAAUGGGGAGAUUCAUCGUCAGCGAUUCUGGUAUCUGUGCGGUUCGCGAUGCCCGGGUCUUCGGUCCCGGGGCACGCGUCCGCAUGUUUAUAUGACCGAAUCGUCGGCGUGCACUUCUCCCCUAGUAGGACGUCGCGACCCGUUGGGUGUCGGUCUACGGCCCGGGCGGUAGCCUGCUUCGUGUGCGCUUCACGGCGUUUCGCGGGGCAGACCCCUGAGUGUCUGGCCGGCUGCUCGGCGGUACUCGCACGGUAUCUGGCCGCAAAUAUUCGAACUGCGUCUGGCCCGUCGCAAGCGCGGCAAGUGUUCCCGGCUGUACGGAUCUAACGCCGUCACCGGGCCUUGCCAGCUGUUGGUUGACGGUGUCCUUAGACUGGCCACCAAUAUUAUGAUACCGGUCGGCGACGCUACUGCUUUGGGUACUUUCAGGACCCGUCUUGAAACACGGACCAAGGAGUCUAACAUGUGCGCGAGUCAUUGGGAUCAAUCAAGCCUAAAGGCGCAAUGAAAGUGAAGGUUGGCUUCGCGCCAACCUAGGGAGGAUGGGCCGCGUCACGAUGCGGUCCCGCACUCCCGGGGCGUCUCGUUCUCAUUGC